ACUCUAAUAGUUUAUAAAAAACCUUAGUCUUGUAAACCAAAGGAUGAAGGCUAUACCCCUUCUUAGACUU
This is a non-coding RNA of Pelecanus crispus (Dalmatian pelican), 70 nucleotides long. The record is from Rfam. NCBI's taxonomy places the organism in Eukaryota, Metazoa, Chordata, Aves, Pelecaniformes, Pelecanidae.